RNAcentral lists this ribosomal RNA (117 nucleotides) under Pelotomaculum propionicicum. Lineage: Bacteria; Bacillati; Bacillota; Clostridia; Eubacteriales; Desulfotomaculaceae. RNAcentral also lists the same sequence under 1 other name. The record is from RNAcentral.
UCUGACGACCGACGACCGAAUUGGUACACCCGUUCCCAUCCCGAACACGGCAGUUAAGCCCUCCUGAGCGAUGGUACUUGGGACGCUGGUCCCUGGGAGAGUAGGUCGCUGCUAGAU